RNAcentral lists this ribosomal RNA (230 nucleotides) under uncultured bacterium. RNAcentral describes it as "partial 16S ribosomal RNA". It matches the Rfam family "Bacterial small subunit ribosomal RNA", at positions 560 to 791 of the family's 1533-position model. The record is from RNAcentral.
GUAAAGCGUGCGCAGGCGGUUUGUAAGACUGUCGUGAAAUCCCCGGGCUCAACCUGGGAAUGGCGAUGGUGACUGCAAGGCUAGAGUUUGGCAGAGGGGGUAGAAUUCCACGUGUAGCAGUGAAAUGCGUAGAUAUGUGGAGGAACACCGAUGGCGAAGGCAGCCCCCUGGGUCAAAACUGACGCUCAUGCACGAAAGCGUGGGGAGCAAACAGGAUUAGAUACCCGGGU